Molecule: ribosomal RNA, 465 nt
Filed under: Platycleis falx
Lineage: Eukaryota; Metazoa; Arthropoda; Insecta; Orthoptera; Tettigoniidae
Description: eukaryotic LSU rRNA
Rfam family: Eukaryotic large subunit ribosomal RNA
Source: RNAcentral
UGAAGGUCCCGCCUCGUGCGGACCGAGGGAAGAUGGGCCGCGCUGCUGUGCGGGUCCGCUUUCCCGGGGCGUCUCGUUCUCAUUGCGAGUUGAGGCGCACCCAGAGCGUACACGUUGGGACCCGAAAGAUGGUGAACUAUGCCUGGCCAGGACGAAGUCAGGGGAAACCCUGAUGGAGGUCCGUAGCGAUUCUGACGUGCAAAUCGAUCGUCGGAGCUGGGUAUAGGGGCGAAAGACUAAUCGAACCAUCUAGUAGCUGGUUCCCUCCGAAGUUUCCCUCAGGAUAGCUGGUGCUCGAACGAGUCUCAUCCGGUCAAGCGAAUGAUUAGAGGCCUUGGGGCCGAAACGACCUCAACCUAUUCUCAAACUUUAAAUGGGUGAGAUCUCCGGCUUGCUUAAAACAUUUUUGAAGCCGCGAGAUUUAAUUUUCUUGGAUCGGAGUGCCAAGUGGGCCACUUUUGGUAA